GGAUGUGAGUGUGGUCUGGCUGUGACGUCUUUAUCAUCCAAUGGAUCAUCAGGGUUGAUUCAGAUGAUCUGACUGGCUAGGCUCAUUCCUCCACUCCUCCGUAUGUGUCCAUCCCAGAAUCGCACACUUGCUGGGAAAUUAUAGCUAUCUCAGAAGGAGCAUGCCAUUCUUCAGUCAAAGGUCACAACACAGAGUUACAACACUUGCCAGAGUUCAUUGAUAAGGUGCACAUUGUGGAUGCAUGCCUAGCUAG
Molecule: small nuclear RNA, 253 nt
Filed under: Pogona vitticeps (central bearded dragon)
Lineage: Eukaryota; Metazoa; Chordata; Lepidosauria; Squamata; Agamidae
Description: 7SK RNA (ENSPVIG00000023750.1)
Rfam family: 7SK RNA
About the family: 7SK was discovered as an abundant small nuclear RNA in the mid-70s but a possible function has only recently been suggested.
Source: Rfam by way of RNAcentral